Molecule: non-coding RNA, 69 nt
Organism: Ictidomys tridecemlineatus (thirteen-lined ground squirrel)
Lineage: Eukaryota; Metazoa; Chordata; Mammalia; Rodentia; Sciuridae
Source: Rfam
GGGGAUAUAGCUCAGUAGAGUGCUUGCCUGGCAUGCACAAGGCCCUGGGUUCAAUCCCCAACACCACCA